UACGUAGGAUGCGAGCGUUAUCCGGAUUUACUGGGCGUAAAGCGUCUGUAGGUGGUUUUGUGCGUUGGAUGCCAAAUCUCUGUGCUUAACGCAGAGCCGGUGUCCAAUACGGCAAAACUUGAGGGAACUAGAGGGUGAUGGAAUUCCCGGUGUAGCGGUGAAAUGCGUUGAUAUCGGGAGGAACGCCAAUGGCGAAGGCAGUCACCUGGGGUUUUCCUGACACUGAGAGACGAAAGCGUGGGGAGCAAACAGG
Molecule: ribosomal RNA, 253 nt
Filed under: uncultured bacterium
Lineage: Bacteria
Description: partial 16S ribosomal RNA
Rfam family: Bacterial small subunit ribosomal RNA
Source: RNAcentral